AUAUUUUUGAGUGGCAUCUCUUGCAUAUCAACGGUGAGCCAGUACAGGAUGGACACGCGUCUGAUUAGCUAGUUGGUAAGGUAACGGCUGACCCAGGCGACGAUCAGUAGCCGACCUGGGAGGGUGAUCGGCUACAUUGGAACUGCGACACGGUCCAACCUCCUACGGGAGGCAGCAGUGGGGAAUAUUACACACUGGGCGAAAGCCUGAUUCAGCAACACCGCGUUAGUGAUGAUGGCCGACGGGUCGUAAAAAUCUGUCCUCACGGAGGAUAAUGACGGUACCUGAGGCGGAAGCACCGGCUAACGCCGUGUCAGCAUCCGCGGUACUGCGUCAGGGGCUGGACUUAUCCGGAUUUCCUGGGCGUCAGCGGUGCGUGGGCGGGCUAUCAAGUCAGGCGUGCACGCGUCAGGCGCCACCGUGCGGAGCCCUGGAAA
This 437-nucleotide ribosomal RNA is filed under the name Clostridioides difficile. RNAcentral's name for it is "bacterial SSU rRNA". It matches the Rfam family "Bacterial small subunit ribosomal RNA", at positions 173 to 632 of the family's 1533-position model. Lineage: Bacteria; Bacillati; Bacillota; Clostridia; Peptostreptococcales; Peptostreptococcaceae. The record is from RNAcentral.